AUUGAACACUGGCGGCAUGCCUUACACAUGCAAGUCGAACGGCAGCACGGGAGCAAUCCUGGUGGCGAGUGGCGAACGGGUGAGUAAAGUAUCGGAACGUGCCCAGUCGUGGGGGAUAACGUAGCGAAAGUUACGCUAAUACCGCAUACGAUCUAUGGAUGAAAGCGGGGGAUCGCAAGACCUCGCGCGAUUGGAGCGGCCGAUAUCAGAUUAGGUAGUUGGUGGGGUAAAGGCUAACCAAGCCGACGAUCUGUAGCUGGUCUGAGAGGACGACCAGCCACACUGGGACUGAGACACGGCCCAGGCUCCUACGGGAGGCAGCAGUGGGGAAUUUUGGACAAUGGGCGAAAGCCUGAUCCAGCCAUGCCGCGUGCAGGAUGAAGGCCUUCGGGUUGUAAACUGCUUUUGUACGGAACGAAAAGGUUUGGCCUAAUAAGCUGAGCUCAUGACGGUACCGUAAGAAUAAGCACCGGCUAACUACGUGCCAGCCGCCGCCGUAA
RNAcentral lists this ribosomal RNA (500 nucleotides) under uncultured bacterium. RNAcentral describes it as "partial 16S ribosomal RNA". It matches the Rfam family "Bacterial small subunit ribosomal RNA", at positions 30 to 523 of the family's 1533-position model. The record is from RNAcentral.